Molecule: ribosomal RNA, 419 nt
Filed under: bacterium
Lineage: Bacteria
Description: partial 16S ribosomal RNA
Rfam family: Bacterial small subunit ribosomal RNA
Source: RNAcentral
UGGGGGAUAUUGCACAAUGGGCGAAAGCCUGAUGCAGCGACGCCGCGUGGGGGAUGAAGGCCUUCGGGUUGUAUACUUCUUUUGCUCUGAACAAGGCGCACCAUGGGGUGUGUUGAGUGUAGGGGUUGAUUAGCGCCGGCUAACUACGUGCCAGCAGCCGCGGUAAUACGUAGGGCGCGAGCGUUGUCCGGAAUUAUUGGGCGUAAAGGGCUUGUAGGUGGCUGGUUGCGUCUGUCGUGAAAGCUCAUGGCUUAACUGUGGGUUUGCGGUGGGUACGGGCUGGCUUGAGUGCAGUAGGGGAGGCUGGAAUUCCUGGUGUAGCGGUGGAAUGCGCAGAUAUCAGGAGGAAUACCGGUGGCGAAGGCGGGUCUCUGGGCUGUUACUGACACUGAGGAGCGAAAGCAUGGGGAGCGAACAGG